This 292-nucleotide ribosomal RNA is filed under the name uncultured bacterium. Its description in RNAcentral is "partial 16S ribosomal RNA". It matches the Rfam family "Bacterial small subunit ribosomal RNA", at positions 505 to 796 of the family's 1533-position model. The record is from RNAcentral.
GUUUAAGCAGCCGCGGUAAUACGUAGGGUGCAAGCGUUGUCCGGAAUUAUUGGGCGUAAAGAGCUCGUAGGCGGUUUGUCGCGUCGGCUGUGAAAGCCCGGAGCUCAACUCCGGGUCUGCAGUCGAUACGGGCAGACUUGAGUGUUGCAGGGGAGACUGGAAUUCCUGGUGUAGCGGUGAAAUGCGCAGAUAUCAGGAGGAACACCGGUGGCGAAGGCGGGUCUCUGGGCAACAACUGACGCUGAGGAGCGAAAGCGUGGGGAGCGAACAGGAUUAGAUACCCUGGUAGUCC